GACGAACGCUGGCGGCGUGCUUAACACAUGCAAGUCGAACGGAAAGGCCUGCUUUCCCUUGUGGAUUGCGGGUACUCGAGUGGCGAACGGGUGAGUAACACGUGAGUGAUCUGCCCCCAACUUGGGUAUAAGCCUGGGAAACUGGGUCUAAUUCCCGAUAGGACUGCAGGGUGGUGCCUGUGGUGGAGAACGAUUUUCUAGUGGUUGGGGAUGAGCUCGCGGCCUAUCAGCUUGUUGGUGGGGUAAUGGCCUACCAAGGCGGCGACGGGUAGCCGGCCUGGGAGGGUGGCCGGCCACAUUGGGACUGAGAUACGGCCCAGACUCCUACGGGAGGCAGCAGUGGGGAAUAUUGCACAAUGGGCGGAAGCCUGAGGCAGCGACGCCGCGUGGGGGAGGACGGCCUGCGGGUUGGAAACUCCUUUCGACCGCGAGGAAGCCACCUGGUUGGAAGGGUGGUGACGGUAGUGGUAGAAGAAGCACCGGCUAACUACGU
Molecule: ribosomal RNA, 493 nt
Filed under: uncultured bacterium
Lineage: Bacteria
Description: partial 16S ribosomal RNA
Rfam family: Bacterial small subunit ribosomal RNA
Source: RNAcentral